This is a long non-coding RNA of Bufo bufo (common toad), 147 nucleotides long. RefSeq lists it as uncharacterized. The record is from RefSeq and is a predicted model, not a curated record. The transcript has 4 exons. Lineage: Eukaryota; Metazoa; Chordata; Amphibia; Anura; Bufonidae.
AGGUGUCAUCAAAUGUUGCUGCUCUCUGAAGGGGAUGGUAAGGUAUGGUGCACCCCAAUGGAAAAUAAGUCCAGAGAGUUAUUGGUCUCCAGUAAACCAGUGUACUUCUUUACUGGAGGAACUCAAAAAGAAUACAGGGCUCGUGCC